Molecule: non-coding RNA, 2420 nt
Organism: Paramuricea clavata
Lineage: Eukaryota; Metazoa; Cnidaria; Anthozoa; Malacalcyonacea; Plexauridae
Source: the annotation of a GenBank genome assembly
UUGAGUUGAUUUCAAAAGUGCGCAUGCUCACAUAUUAUUUAUGCCAGUUAUUUGCAGCUGACGUAAUAUUCUCACCAGGUUGUAGAGAAAAUUAGCCGUACUGUAUACAAUCUAUCUGUGCUGGUAUAAAUAUUUCUCCUUUCAUUUAGAUCCAGACGAUUGAUCGUGGUUUUCAAUUAUUCUUUCUUCUAUUCUUAUUUCGUUUGUUAAAUCUAGCUUUAAAAUUAAGGAAUGUGAAUGUAUGUGUAAUCAGCGGUUCAUAUAAUUAUAUAGCAAGAAAUAUCCGAAAUCAGUUUCAAAGUUGCAUCGCAUGAUGGAUGUGCGUCUUGUUGUAUAUUGGAUGUUGCACAACGAAUCUCAGAUGUAGUUUUACCAAAUUUUCAGUGAAGAGAACGAGUAGAAAAAUGAUGAUUAUAUUAAGAAAAAUACGUUUGGUCUUGUUCUGCCCCAUAUUUUCAGAGAGGAAAGCCAGACAAAUGCUGAUUAAAACUUUUCUUGUUUUGCCUGACACAAAAAUACUGAUUUCCCGUGAAAUCGACGCAUAAACUUGCGGCUUUGAAAUUUGGGUGUAAAACGAUUAUCUCCAAUUUUUGGCACAACGUUGGCUGUGUUAUAACCUGUUCCAUGUUGGUCGAUUGCUGCACUCUUUUUGGUUAUUCGUUGUUCUAUAGCGAUUUUAAUUUGAAUUGUUAUGAUAUAGUUUACACAGCCGUUACGACAAGUGCACACGGCAGAUCAGGAGAACCAUUAAAUAGCAGAAAGCGCCCGCACGCGUGUUUGUCAUUUUACUUAUGAAGAUUCGCUAUGUCACAUAUAAAAAAAUGAAAACUGUACACUUUUGGUUUUAUAGAAUACUUGUGUUUCUGUUUAGUCGUGAAACUACACGCCUCUAAGAAUAGUUGCGAAUGUUAUACCUCAAAUUCAAAGUCUCCAAUCAAAGACAAGCUUGUGCCACGUGGGCAUAAAAUUUAUCAUCGAAUCCCGCCUUACGUCAUCGUUUUUGACUUAAGCGGGUUGACUUGACUCAUGACGAUUUGGUCGUGUCACCCGGGAGACAUGAUUCGCGUAAACCACGCGCGGCGAUUAUACUUUAAAAAAUCUCGGUUUUUUGUGAACAUUUUGAAACAAAUUUCGAAAAAUGUUGUUAUCAAUAUUCCAAACUAUAUGUGAUUCGACAGAAAGGCGACGAUACUUAAUCCAAAAAUAAAACGUCGAAGGCAAGUCUCAACUUUUACAUGUUUAACUUGGAGGCUUUUAAUUUUCGGAACAAUAGAUAUUUCAUAGACCCUCUGCUCGAGGGAUUCGGCGAAAUAUUACCCUCGAAGAUGAUAUUUCCUUACUAACUUUGGGUAAUAUUUCUACGAAUCCCCAUCGCUCCAGGUCUAUCAAUGAUAAAUGUCCGAUCUACCAAACGCACGUCUAUCGUAUGAUGUAGCUUUAAACACUGAUAUAGGUGUAUCCACAUGUAAUCUGUGAAUUAUAGUAAGAAGGUACAGUAUAUCAGACACUUAUUUACUCCGAGGCUGUGACGGAUUUGACAGAAUUAGCAAACUCCUUUCAAGCUGAGCUCAUAUGAAUCAGCAAAUGAGAGAACAAAUGAGAAAGCAAUACAUAAAUUUCACCCGUUGAAUUACGUCUGAUUUUCUGAAUUUAUCCACAAUUUCCUGAGCUUCUUAUGGAAAUUUGAGAAUUCAGAUAAUUUGAUGUUCAUAUCUUUCACUGUACUCUGUCCUGGUCCUUGUCCUUUGUAUUUGUGAAAGAGAUGUAAUUAUCGAACAAAGUGGUUCAAAACAAAUAAUCAAAAAUAUAUUUUACAGUAUUAUGUUAAACGCAGUUUGUUUUUUUGCCCGACCUCUUAGUGCAAGUUCCCUAUUACUUGCACACAAUUCUCAUAGCUUGCAAACAAGAUGUGUUCGCAUGGCUUGUUACGUGCUGUUAACAAGCCUGGGAAAAGUUGUUAUCAUCUUGUAACUAGGUUGAUGAGGCCAACAGAUUGGUAACAAGUUGUUGCAACAUGUCUGAUAUCGUCUGCUUGCACGUACAGUAACAAGUAACAAGUUGAUGACAACACGCUUGUAGCAACUUGUUCACGAACAGCCUGUAAUAGUCUUGUUGGACAUCAUCAACUUUCUGAGAAGGUCAUCAAAACUUGUUCUAGGCUUCUCGAAACAACUGGAAUCGCGAACACAUGAGAUGGGCUUGACAACAAUUACGUUGUUACAACUUGUUUUCAAGUCUGUAACAACUUGUGUGUUUUCACGCGUCUGUAUUCCUAAACCAGCCUUUUAUUAAAUAAGUAAUAUAUUCUAACUAAAUGAUAUACUUACAUUUGGUCAAUAUUCUGUAACGUACUCCGUUUUAGAUACAUAAUUGUGUAAAAUUUGCUUAGUGAAAAUUAAUUAAAAUACUUAACUCUGAUG